ACGACAAAAGGGGGGGGAAGUCAAUAUAUCAUUAGGUCGAUACAAUCCUUAAAAAAGUCUCAUUUAACCAAUAAUUUUCUGUAACCAUUACAAUUUACAACCGAUUGCAUCGAACUUAAAAACCGAAGAUCCAAAACAAUCCAGUCAGAAGAAAAAACAAAGAAAACAGCGAAGCUGUACAGAUCUAGCUAAGCAAUCAAGUCAUUGGAUUCAGAGAAAGUGUGACAUUUUCCAAUUGUUAGAGAAUAUGAAGUAGAG
RNAcentral lists this unclassified non-coding RNA (258 nucleotides) under Hevea brasiliensis (rubber tree). Lineage: Eukaryota; Viridiplantae; Streptophyta; Magnoliopsida; Malpighiales; Euphorbiaceae. The record is from RNAcentral.